GAGAGUGAACUCUAGCCUGCAGGCUAGAGUUCACUCUCGCGAGAUCUGAGCGUUGCCGUGGUAACCGAGAUCUGAGCGUUGCCGUGGUAACCGAGAUCUGAGCGUUGCCGUGGUAACCGUUGCCGUGGUAACCGUUGCCGUGGCACCGCUCAGAUCUCGCGAGAGUGAACUCUAGCCUGCAGGCUAGAGUUCACUC
This is a non-coding RNA of Pelobates cultripes (western spadefoot toad), 196 nucleotides long. Lineage: Eukaryota; Metazoa; Chordata; Amphibia; Anura; Pelobatidae. The record is from the annotation of a GenBank genome assembly.